Molecule: ribosomal RNA, 253 nt
Filed under: uncultured bacterium
Lineage: Bacteria
Description: partial 16S ribosomal RNA
Rfam family: Bacterial small subunit ribosomal RNA
Source: RNAcentral
GACGGAGGAUGCAAGUGUUAUCCGGAAUCACUGGGCGUAAAGCGUCUGUAGGUGGUUUAAUAAGUCAACUGUUAAAUCUUGAGGCUCAACCUCAAAAUCGCAGUCGAAACUAUUAGGCUAGAGUACGGUAGAGGGGGAUGGAAUUCCGCGUGUAGCAGUGAAAUGCGUAGAUAUGCGGAGGAACACCGAUGGCGAAGGCAAUCCCCUGGACCUGUACUGACGCUCAUGCACGAAAGCGUGGGGAGCAAACAGG